AUGUUGGUCCUAAGAGCCAGGGGUGAAGAGGGGCUGGCUCUCUGUCCCCUCGUCGCGGGGGUUGCUUCCCCCCCUGCGAUGGAGGUCCCAAGAGCCAAGGGGGGAAGAGGGGCUGGCUCUCAGUCCCUGCCUCGCGGGGGUGCCUCCCGCCCUGGGAUGGGGAUCCAAAGAGCCAGGGGGGUAAAAAGGGCUGGCUCUCAGUCCCCGCCUCACAGAGGGUGCCUCCCCCCCCCGCGAUGGGAGUCCCAAGAAUCAGGGGGCGAAGAGAGGCUGGCUCUCAGCCACCACAAAAUGGGGGGCCUUUAUGUUCAGGUUUUGCCCAAGAGUCAGCUCAUUUGCUUCUUGUACUAGCAGGGGAGUUGCUGCCAAGGCCCUCAAACAGGGGGGCCAUCCUUUAGAAACCCUGUCUAGUUGUUCAGAGACAUAGGCCACCGGCCUCAUCCAAGGCCCCACAGUUUGGGUUAAAAGUCCACCUGCCAUCUUUUCUCUCUCUGACGCAUACAAUGGAAAAGGUUUUGUCAGAUCGGGUAACCCCAGGGCUGAAGCUGCCAGAAGUUUUUCCUUUAACUCAUGAAAGACUUGCUGUUGUUAGGAUCCCCAUUCCAAAGGUUCCCGGUCCCCGCCCCCUUUGUGACCUCAUACAAAGGCUUGGCUUAUAUUGCAAAGUUUGGGAUCCACAGUCUACAAAACCCCACAGCUCCUGAGAAUUCUCUCGCCUGCCUUUGGCCCUUAGGCUCUGGUAGAUUGCAAAUAACAUGCUUUCUUUCUGUUCCCGGGUGGCUUCGGACCCCUGUCGGAUCGGAAAUCCCAAGGAGGCGUCGGACCCCGUCCGAUAGUAAAUCCCAAGUAAGGUACCUGCCGUCGGCAGAUUUGAGCUUUCUGCCUGGACACCUAAUACCCACAGUCCUCCAGGCUCUGGUAGAUUGCAAAUAACCUGCUUUCUUUCUGUUCCCGGGCGGCGUGGGACCCCUGUCGGAUAGUCAAUCCCAAUUAAGGUACCCGCCGUCGGCAGAUUUGAGCUUUCUUCUUGGACACCUAAUACCCACAGUCCUCCAGGCUCUGGUAGAUUGCAAAUGACCUGCUUACUUUCUGUUCCCGGGCUGCGUUCUGACACCUGUUGGACAGUAAAUCCCAAGUAAGGUACCUGCCUUCGGCAGAUUUGAGCUUUCUUCUUGGACACCUAUACCCACAGUCCUCCAGGAGGGUCCUAAGGAUAACUUCAGGAAGUGGGUAUUAAUUCUCACUGUAUAAGUGAAGACAUUAAGCACCAGAGUUUAAGUAGCUUGAUCCACUGAAAGAGAUUCAACUGUGUGGAACCUAUGCCGCGGAGAAUUGCUUUCUGCCAUUGUUAUUGUCCAGCAGUUGCCGAAUAGCUCUGACCUGAGCAAAGCAGUGAAACGCGGUGCUGUUGAGUGGGUUGCCACUGCACCUUUUUCAACUACUCUAGUCUUGUGGAGAAAACACCCCUUCUAAAUUUUUUCUUCAUUGAAUACUCUCCCUCAGCUCCAGGGUACCAUAUAGAGUUUUCUUGUAUUUUAGAGUUACUGUUUUAUCAAAGUGUACCAGUCUUUUGUAUUACAUUUCUCCUGUCUAAAUCA
RNAcentral lists this long non-coding RNA (1598 nucleotides) under Homo sapiens (human). Its description in RNAcentral is "HSALNT0373790". The record is from RNAcentral. Lineage: Eukaryota; Metazoa; Chordata; Mammalia; Primates; Hominidae.